This 267-nucleotide long non-coding RNA is filed under the name Capsicum annuum. RNAcentral describes it as "long non-coding RNA (CANN_LNC007826)". The record is from RNAcentral. Lineage: Eukaryota; Viridiplantae; Streptophyta; Magnoliopsida; Solanales; Solanaceae.
GAGGCGAUACAAGAAAGACGUUAAAUAGAGAUGUUUUGAUAAAAAUCUUAAUAUUGAAGAAAUGCUCGUAAAACAUCCUGAUGACGUUCCAUAAGUUCAAUUACGUCGGUUGAUCAAGUAUUAGAAGCUUCCAACUGUUCAAGUGAGACUAAAAUAAUGCAUACGUACUCUUGGCAUAUUUUGCAUAUUUAAUUUCUAUUCUCUUUUUAGAAAUUAAGCAAGGUAAAUUCUCAAAGUAGAAAAAAAUAAAAGUGGGGACAUCGAAUG